CCAUUAAUCGAAUUAAAUAUUAGAAGGUGAGAGCUUGCGUGUUGUGUGCAUUCGGGCGUAUGAAUUGUGCUGUGAAGUCUUCCAUUUCACACCUUUCAUUCUCAUAGCCAUGGCAGAAGGAUCCAAGGUUUGACAACACAGGUCCAAUAAGGUCUGUCCUUCGCUGGUUCUCUUUUAGCUUUUCCCUCAAAAACUUUCUCAAAAUUUAUAAUGAAUUUGUUGUCUCCGUGUGAAUCCGUGUCUGGGUUUUCCUCUGCUGGUUAGAUUUCCCAUAGCUGGUUGAAUCUAAUUUUCUAGGUCUUGUUCUCCUUGAGAAAUGACCCCCUGUCGAAUUGAAAGUUCUGGGGUUUUACCGGAAAGCGCAAUUUGGGUCUUAUCUGAGGCCUGAGGGUGGAAACCAGGUAGUGGUUUUUUUGUUUUAUCUGAACAUGGAUUUUUGAAGUUAUAUACUAUUGGAGUGGAUUUUUUAUUUUUAUUUUUUUUAUUUUUGAGUUUUUCUUUUGGUGUGUUUUCUGUUUUGUUUUGGGUUUGUGGAGUUUUGGGAAUUAGGGUUUUGGUUUGGGGUGAUAGAACAUGGAAGAGGUUGAAGAAGCUAACAAAGAAGCUGUGGAUAGCUGCCACAGAGUUCUUAGUAUGUUGACACAGCUCAGGGAUGAAGUUCAGUAUGGGAAUUUAAUGGGGGAAACUGAGGAAGCUGUGUUCAAGUUCAAGAAAGUUGUUUCCCUUCUUAACCGUGAUUUGCGUCAUGGAAGAGUCAGAAAGACGAAGAUAUUUCAAACCCCAUUUCCUCAAAACAUAUUCUUUGACCACCCAAACUCCAAAACAGAACACCUAUCCAAUCCUAUACAGUUUUUCCAAUCUAAUUUUCUUGGAGAUUCAAUGCAAGAAAUGGGUUCAAUUGUUAAGAACACUUUGUGUUUAGGAAACACAUCAUUAGAUUUGAGCUCAAAUGGGAAAAGUCCUCUUCAACUGGCUCAACAAAGUCCAUCAACGCAUUAUCACUUCCUUCAGCAUCAGCAGCAACAGCAGAGACUUCAGCAGCAGCAGCAGCAGCAGAUCAAACAUCAGACAGAAACGAUGUUUCAACGGAGUAACAGCGGCAUAAAUCUUAAUUUCGACAGCUCCAGUUGCACACCCACUAUGUCAUCAACUAGGUCUUUCAUAUCUUCAUUGAGUAUGGAUGGGAGUGUGGCUAACUUGGAUGGAAGUGCAUUCCAUUUGAUGGGAGCACAGCGCUUGUCAGAUCACCAUUCACACCAAUUACACAAGAGGAAGUGCUCCGCAAGGGGGGAUGAUGGGAGCGUGAGAUGUGGAAGCAGUGGGAGAUGCCACUGCUCAAAGAAGAGGAAGCAUAGGGUGAAGAGAUCAAUCAAGGUGCCUGCUAUAAGUAACAAGCUGGCAGAUAUUCCUCCUGAUGAAUAUUCCUGGAGAAAGUAUGGCCAGAAGCCAAUCAAGGGUUCACCUCAUCCUAGGGGAUAUUAUAAAUGUAGCAGCAUGAGAGGUUGCCCCGCAAGGAAGCAUGUUGAGAGGUCCCUGGAAGAUCCAUCCAUGCUUAUUGUCACUUACGAAGGUGAGCACAGCCAUCCUAGGAUACCGACACAGUCCGCAAACACUUGAACCUUGUGGACAGCUUCAUCAAGAUUGCUUCAAGGCCCUGACUGCUCUGUCCUUCAAAAUCCAAGUUUAUUAUUGGUUCAAAUCAAUUUUGUACAUAUUUGGCACAGUUCAGGCUUGAGGCAUAUUUAGAGCAGUUUUUUUGCCAUGUGAGAGUUGCCUCUCCGAGCCUUAUGGCUAUUGGCCGGGUUGGCAUGAAGGCCAGAGCAAAGCAGAUGAACUCUGACAGUGGGCAUUCAAAAUUUGCUACUUUAUAAUUGCAGGAAAAGAAACAUUAACUACUAUUAUCUUUGCUUAGGUGAAAUGAGAAUUUUGAGUUCCCUUCGAAGUUGGGAUUUUCUCACUGUAACCUACCCAUGCAUUGAUAGUUCAGUGGGCUUAUUAUGGAUGCAGCGGCUUGCUUUGCUUUGUGAUUUAUUUGGCAGAGGAAUAAUACAACAGAAAACUGUUGAGGAGUGUAUUGAAUGGGUUACCUGUCAAUUCAAAACACUGGGAAAUUUCCUUCAGAGAAUGUCAAUAUGUUGGCAUGACUUUAUCAAAACAAAGUGUUGAAAUUCACUAAUUUUUAUUCCAAGUUAAAUUAUAGUUUGACCAGAACUGUACACCAUACUUUAUUGGUAACUUGUCAUUAUUAAUCAUAAAUUGGUUUUCGAAGCUGUUGGGAUGGAAA
Molecule: RNA transcript, 2284 nt
Organism: Malania oleifera
Lineage: Eukaryota; Viridiplantae; Streptophyta; Magnoliopsida; Santalales; Ximeniaceae
Gene name: probable WRKY transcription factor 21
Exons: 4
Source: RefSeq, a predicted model, not a curated record